ACCUGCCUGCAUGAGCGGGAGAACUUCUGGAAACGGAAGCUGAUACCGGAUGAGCAAAGAGGAGGCAUCUUCUUUUUGGAAAAGGGGACAAGAGUCCCGCAUGCAGAUGGACCUGCGGUGCAUUAGCUGGUUGGAGAGGUAACGGCUCACCAAGGCGACGAUGCAUAGCCGGCCUGAGAGGGCGGACGGCCACACUGGGACUGAGACACGGCCCAGACUCCUGCGGGAGGCAGCAGUAGGGAAUUUUCGUCAAUGGGGGGAACCCUGAACGAGCAAUGCCGCGUGAGCGAGGAAGGUCUUCGGAUCGUAAAGCUCUGUUGCCGGGGACAAAAGGCAGAAAGAGUGGAAAGCUUUCUGAGUGAUGGUACCCGGCGAGGAAGUCACGGCUAACUACGUGCCAGCAGCCGCGGUAAUACGUAGGUGGCGAGCGUUAUCCGGAAUGAUUGGGCGUAAAGGGUGCGCAGGCGGCCGGGCAAGUCCGCAGUAAAAACUGGAGGCUCAACCUUCAGGGGCUGCGGAAACUGUCCGGCUGGAGAGCAGGAGAGGACGGUGGAACUCCAUGUGUAGCGGUAAAAUGCGUAGAUAUAUGGAAGAACACCGGUGGCGAAGGCGGCCGUCUGGCCUGCAUCUGACGCUGAGGCACGAAAGCGUGGGGAGCAAAUAGGAUUAGAUACCCUAGUAGU
This 683-nucleotide ribosomal RNA is filed under the name uncultured bacterium. Its description in RNAcentral is "bacterial SSU rRNA". It matches the Rfam family "Bacterial small subunit ribosomal RNA", at positions 124 to 794 of the family's 1533-position model. The record is from RNAcentral.